Molecule: small RNA, 75 nt
Filed under: Mesonia algae
Lineage: Bacteria; Pseudomonadati; Bacteroidota; Flavobacteriia; Flavobacteriales; Flavobacteriaceae
Description: Flavo-1 RNA
Rfam family: Flavo-1 RNA
Source: RNAcentral
UUAAUGCGUUAGGGAUUGUAACGACAUCCUUUUUCUUUUUUCAAGAAAAAGAUAUAGUGAAAAGCCCGCUCGAAC